CUAAUUUUGUUGAAAGAAAAUCAACUGCAGGAUAAUAAAAUCCUGUGUCAGGUUUAAGCAUCAAGUAUUCAUUUCCCAACUCUGUCUAAGAUUAGGUCUAGCCGAUGGAUGAAGUAAAAAGACAAUAUUAAGUGCAGCACCAAAGAGAAGUCCUAUUUCAAUAUUACAAAGUAUGCAAACCACAAAGGGAAUAAGUAACAGCACAAUAAACUUAAUAAUAGAUGAAGCGUUAUAAAGAUUAGGAAUUGCUCACUGGAUCCUUUCCAAAGAACUUUGA
Molecule: long non-coding RNA, 277 nt
Organism: Polistes dominula (European paper wasp)
Lineage: Eukaryota; Metazoa; Arthropoda; Insecta; Hymenoptera; Vespidae
Source: RefSeq, a predicted model, not a curated record